UGGUCAUUGUCCCAGCAUAGCAGGAUGUCGUCUACAUGCCUGAUAUAUAGGCAAGUGUUCUGCCUGUAUUUUGCUGAUUUCUGUUCUUCCGCAGCUCUGGGGAGUGUCUCCGCCAACGGUCCGGCGGGUGGGCUGCCAAUCGGAGCUCCCCUCGCUUGCCGAGGGACCUUUCCUUUGGGCAUGAAGUGGGAGUUGUGGCGGAUCCCAUGUGCUGGGUCUCGGAUUGGUGUCUUGUCCAGAUUGUCCCUUGGGAGAUGUUCCAUGGGGAGCCGAUGGAGGUGGAGACACAGCGGUUCCGGGCGGAGGGACGGAUGGGGGGAUUCAGGGUCAUAAGUUGCCCGUGUUGCAGUGUCUUUCAGCUGGAUGGUCCUGACUCUGUUAGGGGCGUUGGUGGUGGUCUUGGUCGAGUUCUCGGUCUCCCCUAGCGGGCUUUCGCGCCGUUUAGCAGUGCAGGUUUCGGGCUCGUGGGUCGGGGCGCGUCCCUUAUCGGCUGUUGGUCGGGGUUGGGUUGG
This 512-nucleotide long non-coding RNA is filed under the name Androctonus crassicauda. Lineage: Eukaryota; Metazoa; Arthropoda; Arachnida; Scorpiones; Buthidae. The record is from RNAcentral.